AACGAACGCUGGCGGCAUGCCUAACACAUGCAAGUCGAACGAGACCUUCGGGUCUAGUGGCGCACGGGUGCGUAACGCGUGGGAAUCUGCCCUUUGCUUCGGAAUAACAGUUAGAAAUGACUGCUAAUACCGGAUGAUGUCUUCGGACCAAAGAUUUAUCGGCAAAGGAUGAGCCCGCGUAGGAUUAGGUAGUUGGUGGGGUAAAGGCCUACCAAGCCGACGAUCUUUAGCUGGUCUGAGAGGAUGAUCAGCCACACUGGGACUGAGACACGGCCCAGACUCCUACGGGAGGCAGCAGUGGGGAAUAUUGGACAAUGGGCGCAAGCCUGAUCCAGCCAUGCCGCGUGUGUGAUGAAGGCCUUAGGGUUGUAAAGCACUUUCACCGGAGAAGGUAAUGACGGUAUCCGGAGAAGAAGCCCCGGCUAACUUCGUGCCAGCAGCCGCGGUAAU
RNAcentral lists this ribosomal RNA (450 nucleotides) under uncultured bacterium. RNAcentral describes it as "bacterial SSU rRNA". It matches the Rfam family "Bacterial small subunit ribosomal RNA", at positions 29 to 524 of the family's 1533-position model. The record is from RNAcentral.